GAUGAACGCUGACAGAAUGCUUAACACAUGCAAGUCCACUUGAAUUUGGGUUUUUAACUUCGGUUUGGGUGGCGGACGGGUGAGUAACGCGUAAAGAACUUGCCUCACAGCUAGGGACAACAUAUGGAAACGAAUGCUAAUACCUAAUAUUAUGAUAAUAGGGCAUCCUAUAAUUAUGAAAGCUAUAAGCGCUGUGAGAGAGCUUUGCGUCCCAUUAGCUAGUUGGAGAGGUAACGGCUCACCAAGGCGAUGAUGGGUAGCCGGCCUGAGAGGGUGAUCGGCCACAAGGGGACUGAGACACGGCCCUUACUCCUACGGGAGGCAGCAGUGGGGAAUAUUGGACAAUGGACCGAGAGUCUGAUCCAGCAAUUCUGUGUGCACGAUGAAGUUUUUCGGAAUGUAAAGUGCUUUCAGUUGGGAAGAAACAAAUGACGGUACCAACAGAAGAAGUGACGGCUAAAUACGUG
Molecule: ribosomal RNA, 467 nt
Filed under: uncultured bacterium
Lineage: Bacteria
Description: partial 16S ribosomal RNA
Rfam family: Bacterial small subunit ribosomal RNA
Source: RNAcentral